RNAcentral lists this ribosomal RNA (460 nucleotides) under uncultured bacterium. RNAcentral's name for it is "partial 16S ribosomal RNA". It matches the Rfam family "Bacterial small subunit ribosomal RNA", at positions 338 to 795 of the family's 1533-position model. The record is from RNAcentral.
CCUACGGGCGGCAGCAGUGAGGAAUAUUGGUCAAUGGACGAGAGUCUGAACCAGCCAAGUAGCGUGAAGGAUGACUGCCCUAUGGGUUGUAAACUUCUUUUAUAUGGGAAUAAAAUGUUCCCCGUGUGGGAUUUUGUAUGUACAAUAUGAAUAAGGAUCGGCUAACUCCGUGCCAGCAGCCGCGGUAAUACGGAGGAUCCGAGCGUUAUCCGGAUUUAUUGGGUUUAAAGGGAGCGUAGGUGGAUUGUUAAGUCAGUUGUGAAAGUUUGCGGCUCAACCGUAAAAUUGCAGUUGAAACUGGCAGUCUUGAGUACAGUAGAGGUGGGCGGAAUUCGUGGUGUAGCGGUGAAAUGCUUAGAUAUCACGAAGAACUCCGAUUGCGAAGGCAGUUCACUGGACUGCAACUGACACUGAGGCUCGAAAGUGUGGGUAUCAAACAGGAUUAGAUACCCUAGUAGUC